AGGUUAGCGGCCUUUUAAUCCGCUGGUCGCUGGUUCGAUUCCAGCACGGCCCACCA
RNAcentral lists this transfer RNA (56 nucleotides) under Xylella fastidiosa subsp. sandyi Ann-1. Its description in RNAcentral is "tRNA-Und (NNN) (tRNA-Und-NNN-1-1)". It matches the Rfam family "tRNA", at positions 20 to 71 of the family's 71-position model. Rfam says of the family: Transfer RNA (tRNA) molecules are approximately 80 nucleotides in length. Their secondary structure includes four short double-helical elements and three loops (D, anti-codon, and T loops). Further hydrogen bonds mediate the characteristic L-shaped molecular structure. tRNAs have two regions of fundamental functional importance: the anti-codon, which is responsible for specific mRNA codon recognition, and the 3' end, to which the tRNAs corresponding amino acid is attached (by aminoacyl-tRNA synthetases). tRNAs cope with the degeneracy of the genetic code in two manners: having more than one tRNA (with a specific anti-codon) for a particular amino acid; and 'wobble' base-pairing, i.e. permitting non-standard base-pairing at the 3rd anti-codon position. The record is from RNAcentral. Lineage: Bacteria; Pseudomonadati; Pseudomonadota; Gammaproteobacteria; Lysobacterales; Lysobacteraceae.